Molecule: ribosomal RNA, 528 nt
Filed under: uncultured bacterium
Lineage: Bacteria
Description: partial 16S ribosomal RNA
Rfam family: Bacterial small subunit ribosomal RNA
Source: RNAcentral
UGGGGAAUAUUGCACAAUGGGCGCAAGCCUGAUGCAGCCAUGCCGCGUGUGUGAAGAAGGCCUUCGGGUUGUAAAGCACUUUCAGCGAGGAGGAAGGUGGUGAGCUUAAUACGCUCAUCAAUUGACGUUACUCGCAGAAGAAGCACCGGCUAACUCCGUGCCAGCAGCCGCGGUAAUACGGAGGGUGCAAGCGUUAAUCGGAAUUACUGGGCGUAAAGCGCACGCAGGCGGUUUGUUAAGUCAGAUGUGAAAUCCCCGGGCUCAACCUGGGAACUGCAUUUGAAACUGGCAAGCUAGAGUCUCGUAGAGGGGGGUAGAAUUCCAGGUGUAGCGGUGAAAUGCGUAGAGAUCUGGAGGAAUACCGGUGGCGAAGGCGGCCCCCUGGACGAAGACUGACGCUCAGGUGCGAAAGCGUGGGGCAGCAAACAGGAUUAGAUACCCUGGUAGUCCACGCUGUAAACGAUGUCGAUUUGGAGGUUGUGCCCCUUGAGGCGUGGCUUCCGGAGCUAACGCGUUAAAUCGACCGCC